Molecule: long non-coding RNA, 395 nt
Organism: Anthonomus grandis grandis
Lineage: Eukaryota; Metazoa; Arthropoda; Insecta; Coleoptera; Curculionidae
Exons: 4
Source: RefSeq, a predicted model, not a curated record
CCGAGUUUCGCCAUUCGCCAUCUCCGCGCGUCCAUUUUGAACAUGCGGCACUACGGUCUUAUGGGUAGACGGCCUGGAUCAUAAUUUUUAAGACAAGUAAAUUUCGGCGUGCCGACACCACAAAGAAUGGUGAAGGAGGAUUGGGGGCUUUAUGUAGGCGUUAUGACAUAUUUUGGACCAGUAAAACACGGCUAAAGUGACAACGGCUACGGGUGGCAUUUAGAUAAGGCCCGACGAGGUUGAAUGUUAUCUAGCUGUAGAUAUUAUGGAUGUAAGGCUCAAAUCGUUCAACUGUAAAUCGGUGUAAAGUUUCACCCACCGCUGACGCCAUCUAUGCAGUUACCAAUGAACUGGUAAAACUGGCGGGAUUACAGCUUUGAUUCGUUUACGAGGUA